GGCGCGGCGACGACCGCCGGGAGCGUGUGCAGCGGCGGCGGCGGAAGUGGCCGGCGAGCCCGGUCCCCGCCGGCACCAUGCUUCCCUUGUCACUGCUGAAGACGGCUCAGAAUCACCCCAUGUUGGUGGAGCUGAAAAAUGGGGAGACGUACAAUGGACACCUGGUGAGCUGCGACAACUGGAUGAACAUUAACCUGCGAGAAGUCAUCUGCACGUCCAGGGUGGGUGCUGCACCCACCAACGGGGGUGGGAUGCAGGGGGUGCACACUCAGCCUCCUCCCUCCCUCCCUGGGCCUCAUGGGAGGAGUCAGUGGGGGAGGCCGCCUAGGACUGCUCGUCCUUCCAGGGGUCAGUCAGGAGGGACAGGGCAGGGUGAGCUAGGCCCAAGUCUCCCAGUGUACCCUGGACUUUGACCCUGUGGGAGACUUUCCUGCUGUGUGUCUGUUGGUGCUACCCCUGACCUGGAAGGACCUAGGACUGGGGACUCCCUGUGGCUCAGGUUGGGGCAGCCCCCUCCAGGGGAGGCCCGAGACUCCCGGACUCUGCUGCCUUUAGUCCAGCCUGGAUGUUGCCUGCACUCUGCGGGCCAUGGUACUGUGGCCCUGGGAUGUCCGGGAUGCCCAGGUCACGGUGGGCAGGAGCAGCGCCAGGGCC
This 654-nucleotide small RNA is filed under the name Pan troglodytes (chimpanzee). Its description in RNAcentral is "retained intron". The record is from RNAcentral. Lineage: Eukaryota; Metazoa; Chordata; Mammalia; Primates; Hominidae.